This 430-nucleotide ribosomal RNA is filed under the name uncultured bacterium. Its description in RNAcentral is "bacterial SSU rRNA". It matches the Rfam family "Bacterial small subunit ribosomal RNA", at positions 355 to 776 of the family's 1533-position model. The record is from RNAcentral.
UGAGGAAUUUUGCACAAUGGGGGAAACCCUUAUGCAGCGACGCCGCGUGAGUGACGGAGGUCUUCGGAUCGUAAAGCUCUGUCAGUAGGGAAGAAAUAUGCGAUGGCUAAUAUCCAUUGUAUUUGACGGUACCUACAAAGGAAGCACCGGCUAACUCCGUGCCAGCAGCCGCGGUAAUACGGAGGGUGCGAGCGUUGUUCGGAUUUACUGGGCGCAAAGGGCGCGUAGGCGGUCUUGUAAGCCAGAUGUGAAAGCCCUCGGCUCAACCGUGGAAGUGCAUCUGGAACUGUGAGACUUGAGUACUGGAGGGGAGUGUGGAAUUCCCGGUGUAGAGGUGAAAUUCGUAGAUAUCGGGAGGAAUACCGGUGGCGAAGGCGACACUCUGGACAGAUACUGACGCUGAGGCGCGAAAGCGUGGGGAGCAAACGGG